This 193-nucleotide ribosomal RNA is filed under the name uncultured bacterium. RNAcentral's name for it is "partial 16S ribosomal RNA". It matches the Rfam family "Bacterial small subunit ribosomal RNA", at positions 340 to 525 of the family's 1533-position model. The record is from RNAcentral.
UACGGGAGGCAGCAGUGGGGAAUAUUGCACAAUGGGCGCAAGCCUGAUGCAGCCAUGCCGCGUGUAUGAAGAAGGCCUUCGGGUUGUAAAGUACUUUCAGCGGGGAGGAAGGUGCUGAGGUUAAUAACCUCAGCAAUUGACGUUACCCGCAGAAGAAGCACCGGCUAACUCCGUGCCAGCAGCCGCGGUAAUA